CUGAGUCGAGUGGGGCGAGACAGAGUUGAGGGUCGAGUUUGGUUCUUUAUUAAGGUUCAGUUCAAAGUUCCGGUUGUGGCUCGUCAAUUUGGUCUCUUGGCUGCUUUUGAUUUGUGGUUCGACUCCUGAAUUGCUUCUCGUUCAAUCUGAGUUCGUAAAUUGCAGUAAAAAUCUCCACAUUAAGGUCCAUAUUUUAUCUUAUUCUUAUUCUCCGUUAAUUCUUUAUUUUGGUGUGUGAUUGAUUGUUAUCGUCUCAAAUUUCUCUUAUUUUGGGUGUGAUGUGAAUGAUUAAUGUGGAAUUAUUUGGUCGUAGAUUGUCGAAAAAUGGUAAUCGUGAACUGUUAUAUUGUAACUUCGAAUGAAAUUUGGGAGAAUUGAUAAUCGAAUAAGUUGAGCAUUGAUUAGAUUUGAUUCAUUGUUGGAUAUGGUUGAAAUUGAAAGUAUCAUGUUUUAGAUCGUUAAAUGGGUAGGCAAAUACUAAGUUUGGAUAGGCAAAUUGUAGAAAAUGGAAGAUGGUGAUUUGUUGAAUGUGUGAAUAUUUGUUGAAUGGUUCUUUCUAUCUUAAUGCACAGAACUGAGAAAAUGUAUUCAUUUUACCAGAGAAUGCCCCGAAGGACUUGUAUUGAUUUAUCCGGGGAAUGCCCCGAAGUAUCAUGUACGAAGAGGAGGCUCGUGAUCAAGGCCCGAGGCAUCGUGUAAGGCAUUGGAGCGUAGUUUUAGGAUUAUCUUAGAAUCUGAUUUAUAUUUUCGCAUUUUUUUAUUUUUGGACAAUAUAUUUGGACUGGACACAAUAUUUUGGAUUUAUUUUAUUUUGUUUUA
Molecule: long non-coding RNA, 819 nt
Filed under: Capsicum annuum
Lineage: Eukaryota; Viridiplantae; Streptophyta; Magnoliopsida; Solanales; Solanaceae
Description: long non-coding RNA (CANN_LNC004417)
Source: RNAcentral